Molecule: long non-coding RNA, 92 nt
Organism: Gavialis gangeticus (Gharial)
Lineage: Eukaryota; Metazoa; Chordata; Crocodylia; Gavialidae
Exons: 3
Source: RefSeq, a predicted model, not a curated record
CACACAAAAUUAGCAUGUUAGCAAACAUGAUUCGCAAGAUGAACCCAGAGAUUUCAAAUAGGAAUCUGUAGUAUUAAAAACAUUCUGAUCUG